This 253-nucleotide ribosomal RNA is filed under the name uncultured bacterium. RNAcentral's name for it is "partial 16S ribosomal RNA". It matches the Rfam family "Bacterial small subunit ribosomal RNA", at positions 524 to 776 of the family's 1533-position model. The record is from RNAcentral.
UACGUAGGGUGCGAGCGUUAAUCGGAAUUACUGGGCGUAAAGCGUGCGCAGGCGGUUCGUUGUGUCGGCGGUGAAAGCCCCGGGCUCAACCUGGGAAUGGCCGUUGAAACUGGCGAACUGGAGUGUGGCAGAGGGGGGUGGAAUUCCGCGUGUAGCAGUGAAAUGCGUAGAGAUGCGGAGGGACACCGAUGGCGAAGGCAGCCCCCUGGGCUAGCACUGACGCUCAGGCACGAAAGCGUGGGGAGCAAACAGG